AGCAAGUAGAGUGGCGCACGGGUGAGUAACACGUAGGUAAUCUACCUUUGGAUUGGGAAUAACAACCGGAAACGGUUGCUAAUACCGAAUAAUGCAGCGGCACCUAAUGGUGACAGUUGUUAAAGCGGGGGAUCGAAAGACCUCGCGUCUAAAGAGGAGCCUGCGGCGGAUUAGCUAGUUGGUAAGGUAAUGGCUUACCAAGGCGAUGAUCCGUAGCCGGCCUGAGAGGGCGGUCGGCCACACUGACACUGACAUACGGGUCAGACUCCUACGGGAGGCAGCAGUCGGGAAUUUUGGGCAAUGGGCGAAAGCCUGACCCAGCAACGCCGCGUGAAGGAUGAAAUCCCUCGGGAUGUAAACUUCGCAAGAACGGGAAGAAUAAGUGAGAGUUAAUAUCUCUUACGAUGACGGUA
Molecule: ribosomal RNA, 413 nt
Filed under: uncultured bacterium
Lineage: Bacteria
Description: bacterial SSU rRNA
Rfam family: Bacterial small subunit ribosomal RNA
Source: RNAcentral